Molecule: ribosomal RNA, 468 nt
Filed under: uncultured bacterium
Lineage: Bacteria
Description: partial 16S ribosomal RNA
Rfam family: Bacterial small subunit ribosomal RNA
Source: RNAcentral
GACGAACGCUGGCGGCGUGCUUAACACAUGCAAGUCGAACGGAAAGGCCCUGCUUUUGUGGGGUGCUCGAGUGGCGAACGGGUGAGUAACACGUGAGUAACCUGCCCUUGACUUUGGGAUAACUUCAGGAAACUGGGGCUAAUACCGGAUAGGAGCUCCUGCUGCAUGGUGGGGGUUGGAAAGUUUCGGCGGUUGGGGAUGGACUCGCGGCUUAUCAGCUUGUUGGUGGGGUAGUGGCUUACCAAGGCUUUGACGGGUAGCCGGCCUGAGGGGGUGACCGGCCACAUUGGGACGGAGAUCCGGCCCAGACUCCUACGGGAGGCAGCAGUGGGGAAUAUUGCACAAUGGGCGGAAGCCUGAUGCAGCAACGCCGCGUGCGGGAUGACGGCCUUCGGGUUGUAAACCGCUUUCGCCUGUGACGAAGCGUGAGUGACGGUAAUGGGUAAAGAAGCACCGGCUAACUACGUG